CUGCCUCAGGAUAUGGUUCAGUCAUCACCUCCUUCAUCCAGCCUUCUCUACCUCUUUGUCUUAACAUUGAAAUGGCCAGCGUGUUCUUCUACCUGCCUGCCAGACAUGCAGGCCCAAGGUACCAGGAGGCAGAUGCUGACAGAUGCAUCUCAGUAUGCCCGGCACCUCCACCACACAAGGGCUGUGCUGGUUGCUGUGGGAAUGCUGCAGGGCACAAAACGGAUAAUGCUGGAGGGAGAAGACAGCAAACACAAGGCUCAAGAAACUCCAGUAUGUAAGAAGAGGACAUGCACAAUGGAAGAGGGAAGCCACCAUGCAGAAUGUCGGGGUGCACUUUUAAAUGGGACAGUCAAGAUGAGGAAACUGAGGCUUGGCGUCUCAUUGAGUGACCUACCCAAAAGUUACCCAAGGAGAAAUGGGCUCGCAGAGAUUUGAAUCCUGGUCUCCGGCCUUCCUUUAGACACUUGGGGUGCUCCCAAGUCUGCAUUUGGAGAGGGGAACAGCAUUAAAGUAUCAGCUGGAGCUUCUCAGCUUGAAAUCCUAGGCCUCUUCCAGAGGCCAGAUGUUCGGAUGGUACCAAGGGGCUCUCCGCUGAGUCCUAGGCUGGGAGCAGAGUAAACACUUGGAAACUCAGUGUCCAGAUGCCACGAUUUCUAGUAAGUAUGGAUUCAAAUUAAAUGCUGUGGUAAGUAGUAUGUUACCAUACUUCUAAUCUUAUUAUUUGUUUAAACAGAGGGUGCUUGCUAACCUCGUGCUUCUGUUAAUGACUUGGGCACUCAAUGAGUUCGUGUCCACCCAGAAAGCAUUUGUUUAGCUGGCAGGCACCCAGGCUGGGCCCGGCUGUGUGCAGGUCCUGGGCUCUCACAGCCAAGUCAACUGCAAUCCUGAUGUCUGAGGAGCUCCUGGUCCAGUCGGGGGAGGGACCCAGAAACAGGCUGAGUCUGCUUAUGGCUGGAAUUGGGUAAUGGCAAUGAGAACAUGAACUUAACCCUUACUGUGGGCGAGGGGGAGGGCCCAUCAGGAAAGUGCCUGGGGGCUGGGUCCUGAAGAUGAAUAGGAAUGUUCUAGAAAGUAAGCAGAAAGGCAUACCUGGCAGAGGGUUUUGCAGGCGCAAGGACCUAGAAGUACAGCAGGGUGAGGUGCAUCUGGAGGAGAGUUUGGUGUGGGUUAGGAUUUGUGGCUGUCAGAUAUAUAGUUUUCCUUCUCCUGCCAUCUCCUGUUUGAGUCUUUUAGAAACAGAGGAGGCUAAGGAAAGUGAAAAUGAUUCCAAAGGAAACAAAUCCCUGCCCCCAUUUCCUGAUUUGUCCACUGCCAUGCCUCUGACCUCCUGCCUCCUCAGUCUCUGGUGUCCAGCAGGAAAGAAUCCAGGGCUCCAAAUCUCUCCAGGGCCAUGUGAUACCCUGGCCUAUGGGAAGAUGCCCUGGUCACUUUUCCUAGGCUCCUCCAGGUAGCCGAGCCUCAGCCACCAGGGCCACAGACUUCUCUGCUGCCUUGAGGGACCUACGGGACUAGCAGGAGCUGCUCUUCCUCGUACGACUUCUACCCACCCAGGUAACCAAAAACCUAGGUGUCCUUCUCAGUGACUCCCUUCCCCCACCCCACCAUGUCCAGUCUAUCCCCAAACACUGAUGCUUCUACCUCUUAAGAGCAUCUCCCCAGUUCCACCUCCUGACCCAGCCCAGGCCUUAUCACCUUUUGCCUGGGGGUUUUGGCAUUACUCAGCUCAUCAACUGCUCAGCCUCCAGUCUCUCCUUCUCCAGUCCACACCGCACCAGAGUGAGCCUUCUAGGAUGACCAUGCCACUCUCCUGUGUGAAACCCUUAUCAAGGGCUUUGAUGUUAAGUGUUUUUAUUUUUAUUUAUAUAGUUUCCAUUUUUAAUCAAUAUUUUUAUUUUAAAUUGCAUCCAAAAUCAUCAGUGAAGAGAGAGAACUGCAAGGAGAAGGGAGAGUGGGGGAGGCAUAAUCAUUGCAAGAUGUGAGCUGGAGUACCUUGUUUCUUACCAGAAUCAUCCUUCAGCACUGCAACGGGCCAGGCCCUGGGCUAGGGAAAUGUGGGGCAGGCAGGAAUGAAUCUGCCCGAGUCCCUGCCCAGAAGGACCUCUCAGCAGGUGAGAAGAGAGGAGACAUUUCCAGGCAGCACAUGAGAGGAGCCAUAUCCAGGGCGCAGCUGUCUGGGAAUGAUCUGGGUGACUAAGCAAAGAGGACCAGCCAGGGAAGGCAGGACUCAGGACACAGACAGGAGGAAGCGUCGCCCUAAAUCAAAUCCCAGGAAAGGUCCCACGAUGACAGAAGGGAUCGUCGUGGAUCUGAGGCAGAAGUGCUCUGAAGCCCAAGCUGGCAGGUCUUCCAGCAGGCAGUGCGGCUGCCUUUUAUUGUAAAUUAAAUAUAGCUGCACUUCAGCUUUCCAAAGAGCUGGGAAGGAGAGAAGGAGAAAGAAAAAGAGAGAGAGGAAGAGAAGAAAAGCUGCCGCCCUCAGGAAAGUCGGUAAACUGAGGCAUUCCACCUAAGAUCCCGUUCCUCGGUAGAAAGGAGAACAGGGACAUGAGCCCUGCACACACUCUGUGUUCAGCCACAAACCAAAGUUGAGGCUCAGGGGUGAUUUUAUCUGCAAUGACAAGUCCAUCCCCAGGCUCAGACAGGUAUUGUUCCAGGCCCAGCAGACGUCCCCAAGUUAAACACACAUCCAGGGCUCAAACAGACAUUGCCCCCAGGCCAGGAAGAUGAUGUACCAGGCCCAGACAGAUGUUGUGCCAGGUUCAAACACAUGUCCUGAGCUCAGACAGAAGCUGUCCCAGGGCCAGAUAAUGUGCUGGGCUCAGCCAGGUG
RNAcentral lists this long non-coding RNA (2826 nucleotides) under Homo sapiens (human). Its description in RNAcentral is "non-protein coding LINC01343:5". The record is from RNAcentral. Lineage: Eukaryota; Metazoa; Chordata; Mammalia; Primates; Hominidae.